UACGUAGGUGGCAAGCGUUGUCCGGAUUUAUUGGGUUUAAAGGGUGCGUAGGCGGCUUUGUAAGUCAGUGGUGAAAUAUGGCAGCUCAACUGUCAGGGUGCCAUUGAUACUGCAGAGCUUGAGUACAGAUGAGGUAGGCGGAAUUGACGGUGUAGCGGUGAAAUGCGUAGAUAUCGGAAGGAACACCAGUGGCGAAGGCGGCAUCCUGGACCGGUAUUGACGCUGAGGCGCGAAAGCCAGGGGAGCAAACGGG
This 253-nucleotide ribosomal RNA is filed under the name uncultured bacterium. RNAcentral describes it as "partial 16S ribosomal RNA". It matches the Rfam family "Bacterial small subunit ribosomal RNA", at positions 524 to 776 of the family's 1533-position model. The record is from RNAcentral.